Molecule: ribosomal RNA, 375 nt
Filed under: uncultured eukaryote
Lineage: Eukaryota
Description: SSU rRNA
Rfam family: Eukaryotic small subunit ribosomal RNA
Source: RNAcentral
UACUUUAGCAUGGGAUAAUAGAAUAGGACGAAAGUCUUAUUCUGUUGGUUUCUAGGGCUUUUGUAAUGAUUAAAAGGGACAGUUGGGGGCAUUUGUAUUCAGUUGUCAGAGGUGAAAUUCUAGGAUUAACUGAAGACAAACUAAUGCGAAAGCAUUUGCCAAGGAUGUUUUCAUUAAUCAAGAACGAAAGUAGGGGGAUCGAAGAUGAUCAGAUACCGUCGUAGUCUCUACCAUAAACUAUGCCGACCAAGGAUUUGGAGAAGUUACGUGGAUGACUCCUCAAGCACUUUGUUGAGAAAUCAUUAAGUUGUUGGGUUCUGGGGGGAGUAUGGUCGCAAGGCUGAAACUUAAAGGAAUUGACGGAAGGACACCCCC